Molecule: transfer RNA, 72 nt
Filed under: Candidatus Omnitrophota bacterium
Lineage: Bacteria; Pseudomonadati; Candidatus Omnitrophota
Description: tRNA-His
Rfam family: tRNA
About the family: Transfer RNA (tRNA) molecules are approximately 80 nucleotides in length. Their secondary structure includes four short double-helical elements and three loops (D, anti-codon, and T loops).
Source: RNAcentral
GUGGGUGUAGCUCAGGGGCAGAGCUCUUGAUUGUGGUUCAAGUGGCCGGGGGUUCAAAUCCCCUCACCCACC